GAUGAAGAACGUAUUGAAAUGCGAUACGUAAUGUGAAUUGCAGAAUUCAGUGAAUCAUCGAGUCUUUGAACGCACAUUGCGCCCCCUGGUAUUCCGGGGGGCAUGCCUGUCCGAGCGUCAUUGCUGCCCUCAAGCACGGCUUGUGUGUUGGGCCUCCGCCCCCCGGCUCCCGGGGGGCGGGCCCGAAAGGCAGCGGCGGCACCGCGUCCGGUCCUCGAGCGUAUGGGGCUUCGUCACCCGCUCUUGUAGGCCCGGCCGGCGCUUGCCGACACAUCAAUCUUUUUUCCAGGUUGACCUCGGAUCAGGUAGGGAUACCCGCUGAACUUAAGCAUAUCAAUAAGCGGAGGA
This 348-nucleotide unclassified non-coding RNA is filed under the name soil metagenome. RNAcentral's name for it is "partial contains 5.8S ribosomal RNA, internal transcribed spacer 2, and large subunit ribosomal RNA". The stretch from base 1 to 120 matches the Rfam family "5.8S ribosomal RNA", at positions 35 to 154 of the family's 154-position model. The record is from RNAcentral.